Molecule: ribosomal RNA, 455 nt
Filed under: uncultured bacterium
Lineage: Bacteria
Description: bacterial SSU rRNA
Rfam family: Bacterial small subunit ribosomal RNA
Source: RNAcentral
GAUUAACGCUAGCGGCAGGCCUAAUACAUGCAAGUCGCACGGGAUUUCGGGUAGCAAUAUCUGAAUGAGAGUGGCGCACGGGUGCGUAACACGUGUGCAAUCUACCUUUAACUGGGGAAUAGCUCACCGAAAGGUGAAUUAAUACCGCAUAAAAUCACAGAAGGACAUCCUUCAAUGAUUAAACCUACGGGGGUUAAAGAUGAGCAUGCGUCCGAUUAGCUAGNGGCGGGUAAUAGCCCACCAAGGCAACGAUCGGUAGGGGUCUGAGAGGAUGAUCCCCCACACUGGUACUGAGAUACGGACCAGACUCCUACGGGAGGCAGCAGUAAGGAAUAUUGGACAUGGGGCAACCCUGAUCCAGCCAUGCCGCGUGAAGGAUUAAGGCCCUAUGGGUCGUAAAACUUUCUUUACAGGAGACCAAAACCCCCGUACGUGUACGGGCUGAUGGUACUCUG